This 301-nucleotide ribosomal RNA is filed under the name uncultured bacterium. RNAcentral's name for it is "partial 16S ribosomal RNA". It matches the Rfam family "Bacterial small subunit ribosomal RNA", at positions 509 to 807 of the family's 1533-position model. The record is from RNAcentral.
CAGCAGCCGCGGGAAUACGUAGGGUGCAAGCGUUAAUCGGAAUUACUGGGCGUAAAGCGUGCGUAGGCGGUGAGUUAAGUCUGCUGUGAAAUCCCCGGGCUCAACCUGGGAAUGGCAGUGGAUACUGGCUCGCUAGAGUGUGUCAGAGGAUGGUGGAAUUCCCGGUGUAGCGGUGAAAUGCGUAGAGAUCGGGAGGAACAUCAGUGGCGAAGGCGGCCAUCUGGGACAACACUGACGCUGAGGCACGAAAGCGUGGGGAGCAAACAGGAUUAGAUACCCCAGUAGUCCCUGUCUCUUAUAC